RNAcentral lists this unclassified non-coding RNA (326 nucleotides) under plant metagenome. RNAcentral describes it as "partial contains 5.8S ribosomal RNA, internal transcribed spacer 2, and large subunit ribosomal RNA". The stretch from base 1 to 105 matches the Rfam family "5.8S ribosomal RNA", at positions 50 to 154 of the family's 154-position model. The record is from RNAcentral.
GAAAUGCGAUACGUAGUGUGAAUUGCAGAAUUCAGUGAAUCAUCGAAUCUUUGAACGCACAUUGCGCCCUUUGGUAUUCCAAAGGGCAUGCCUGUUCGAGCGUCAUUUGUACCCUCAAGCUUUGCUUGGUGUUGGGCGUCUUUUUGUCUCUCCCCUGUUGGGGGAGACUCGCCUUAAAACGAUUGGCAGCCGACCUACUGGUUUUCGGAGCGCAGCACAAAUUUGCGCCUUCCAAUCCACGGGGCGGCAUCCAGCAAGCCUUUGUUUUCUAUAACAAAUCCACAUUUUGACCUCGGAUCAGGUAGGGAUACCCGCUGAACUUAAGC